RNAcentral lists this ribosomal RNA (443 nucleotides) under uncultured bacterium. Its description in RNAcentral is "bacterial SSU rRNA". It matches the Rfam family "Bacterial small subunit ribosomal RNA", at positions 355 to 796 of the family's 1533-position model. The record is from RNAcentral.
UCGAGAAUCUUCGGCAAUGGGCGCAAGCCUGACCGAGCGACGCCGCGUGGAGGACGAAGGCCUUCGGGUUGUAAACUCCUGUCGAGGGGGAGGAAAAGGCGGCGAAGAGCCGCCCCUGACCGAUCCCUGGAGGAAGCACGGGCUAAGUUCGUGCCAGCAGCCGCGGUAAGACGAACCGUGCGAACGUUAUUCGGAAUCACUGGGCUUAAAGCGCGUGUAGGCGGGCCGGCACGUCGGCCGCUGAAAUCCCCCGGCUCAACCGGGGAAGCGGCGCCGAUACGACCGGCCUGGAGGGGAGUAGGGGGGCCUGGAACUUCCGGUGGAGCGGUGAAAUGCGUUGAGAUCGGAAGGAACGCCCGUGGCGAAAGCGAGGCCCUGGACUCCUGCUGACGCUGAGACGCGAAAGCCAGGGGAGCGAACGGGAUUAGAUACCCCCGUAGUCC